GAUGAACGCUGGCGGCGUGCCUAACACAUGCAAGUCGAACGGAGUCGUUUAGGAAAAUCCUUCGGGAUUGGAAUUCUCGACUUAGUGGCGGACGGGUGAGUAACGCGUGAGCAAUCUGCCUUUAAGAGGGGGAUAACAGUCGGAAACGGCUGCUAAUACCGCAUAAAGCAUUGAAUUCGCAUGUUUUCGAUGCCAAAGGAGCAAUCCGCUUUUAGAUGAGCUCGCGUCUGAUUAGCUAGUUGGCGGGGUAACGGCCCACCAAGGCGACGAUCAGUAGCCGGACUGAGAGGUUGAACGGCCACAUUGGGACUGAGACACGGCCCAGACUCCUACGGGAGGCAGCAGUGGGGAAUAUUGCGCAAUGGGGGAAACCCUGACGCAGCAACGCCGCGUGAUUGAAGAAGGCCUUCGGGUUGUAAAGAUCUUUAAUCAGGGACGAAAAAUGACGGUAC
This 452-nucleotide ribosomal RNA is filed under the name uncultured bacterium. RNAcentral's name for it is "bacterial SSU rRNA". It matches the Rfam family "Bacterial small subunit ribosomal RNA", at positions 28 to 478 of the family's 1533-position model. The record is from RNAcentral.